This 440-nucleotide ribosomal RNA is filed under the name uncultured bacterium. RNAcentral describes it as "partial 16S ribosomal RNA". It matches the Rfam family "Bacterial small subunit ribosomal RNA", at positions 338 to 795 of the family's 1533-position model. The record is from RNAcentral.
CCUACGGGAGGCAGCAGUGGGGAAUAUUGCACAAUGGGGGAAACCCUGAUGCAGCGACGCCGCGUGAGUGAAGAAGCAAUUCGUCAUGUAAAGCCCUAUCAGCAGGGAAGAUAAUGACGGUACCUGAGUAAGAAGCCCCGGCUAACUACGUGCCAGCAGCCGCGGUAAUACGUAGGGGGCAAGCGUUAUCCGGAUUUACUGGGUGUAAAGGGAGCGUAGACGGCAGUGCAAGUCUGGAGUGAAAGGCGGGGGCUCAACCCCGGGACUGCUCUUGAAACUGCACGGCUGGAGUGCAGGAGAGGGAAGUGGAAUUCCUAGUGUAGCGGUGAAAUGCGUAGAUAUUAGGAAGAACACCGAUGGCGAAGGCAGCAUACUGGACCGUAACUGACGUUGAGGCACGAAAGCGUGGGGAGCGAACAGGAUUAGAUACCCCUGUAGUC